This 281-nucleotide ribosomal RNA is filed under the name Clostridia bacterium. RNAcentral's name for it is "partial 23S ribosomal RNA". It matches the Rfam family "Bacterial large subunit ribosomal RNA", at positions 2643 to 2925 of the family's 2925-position model. The record is from RNAcentral. Lineage: Bacteria; Bacillati; Bacillota; Clostridia.
CAUCGUGGGCGUAGGAGUCAUGAAGGGAGCUGUUCCUAGUACGAGAGGACCGGAAUGGACGCACCACUGGUGCAACUGUUGUCGUGCCAACGGCAUAGCAGGGAAGCGAAGUGCGGACGGGAUAAACGCUGAAGGCAUCUAAGCGUGAAGCCCACCUUAAGAAUAAGACUCCAAGCAGCAAUGCGAGAGACCCCCGGAAGACUACCGGGUAGAUAGGUCAUCGGUGGAAGUGCAGUAAUGUAUGUAGCUUGAUGAUACUAAUCGGUCGAUAGCUUGAUUUA